AUUUGAAUGAAGUUUUCGGAUGGAUUUUAAAUUGACUGAGUGGCGGACGGGUGAGUAACGCGUGGGUAACCUGCCCCAUACAGGGGGAUAACAGUUAGAAAUGACUGCUAAUACCGCAUAAGACCACAGCGCCGCAUGGUGCAGGGGUAAAAACUCCGGUGGUAUGAGAUGGGGAUGCGUUCCAUUAGUUUGUUGGCGGGGUAACGGCGCACCAAGCCGACGAUCAGUAGCCGACCUGAGAGGGUGACCGGCCACAUUGGGACUGAGACACGGCCCAAACUCC
This 283-nucleotide ribosomal RNA is filed under the name uncultured Lachnospiraceae bacterium. RNAcentral's name for it is "partial 16S ribosomal RNA". It matches the Rfam family "Bacterial small subunit ribosomal RNA", at positions 59 to 339 of the family's 1533-position model. The record is from RNAcentral. Lineage: Bacteria; Bacillati; Bacillota; Clostridia; Lachnospirales; Lachnospiraceae.